This 64-nucleotide transfer RNA is filed under the name Myosotella myosotis (mouse ear snail). RNAcentral's name for it is "tRNA-Tyr". The record is from RNAcentral. Lineage: Eukaryota; Metazoa; Mollusca; Gastropoda; Ellobiida; Ellobiidae.
CUUUUGGUGGCUGAAGCGUAGGUGACUGAUUGUAAAUCAGUUUAUGGAGUCCCUCCCCAGGUGC